This 1131-nucleotide long non-coding RNA is filed under the name Heterocephalus glaber (naked mole-rat). RNAcentral describes it as "lncRNA (ENSHGLG00000048287.1)". Lineage: Eukaryota; Metazoa; Chordata; Mammalia; Rodentia; Bathyergidae. The record is from RNAcentral.
UUCUCACUAUGUAGUUUAGGCUGGUCUUGAAUUCAGUGUGUAGCCUGGGUUUGCCUCAAAUUUGCUACAUCUGCCUGCCUCAGCCUCCUGAAUGCUGGAAUUACAGGUAUGUGGCACCAUGGCUGGCUUGAAAUUAAUAUAUAAUUCUAUAGAAUAAGUAAAGCAGACUGUUCUCCCCAGUGUUGGUGGCCCUAUCCAAUCUAUUGAAGGCCUGAAUGGAACAAAAAGGUAGGGUAAAGGAGAAUUCUUUCUCUCUUCUGUCUUUGAGCUGGGACACAGGUCUUCUCCUGCCUUUGGAUUUUGACUUGGAUUAAAAUUUAAACCACUGGCUGUCCUUGUUAUCAGGCAUUCAGAUUCAGGCUGGAAUUAAACCACUGGGUCUCCUAGGUUUCCAGUUUGCUGACUGAAGAUCUUGGGAUUUUUCAGCUUCCAUACCAUGCUGAAGGCACAGCUCCUAUCCAGAAAACCCAUUUCCAGUGGCAGAAAUAAGAGUAAGAUUUUACACUGACACGUGCAAUGGCUCUUCAAGUUUCUGCUUAGAACUGGCAUAUAUCUCCAGCUCAUAUUUCAUUGGCCCAAGAAAGAGAUUUAAAAUGGAAUAUGUAGGCAAAUUGCUAGGCACAGUGCUAACAUGUAAGUAGACUCUAAUGCUCUCUGCAAUGAUGCUGAUUGAUGGUGAUGCUGCAGCCUCUCUUGGCACCUGGAAACAUAGACACACACACAUCUUUUCACCCUGCUCCCAGCCUCUGGAUGAUGCCCUCCAAGAUCUCUUCUAACUGCAAGGAACCCGUGAUGCUGUGAUGAUGAAACCUCAGCUGACACCUCAGGCUCCAGAAAGCAGGCUGAGUGGAUGUCUGUACCUUGUGGGAAUGUGGCCAGAUUUUUCAUGUUCAGGCCUGGAGAGUGUGGCUCCCGGACCUCCUAAGGGAGGGCUGAUUCCCCAGGGGGCAUCCAGAAGUAGGGGACCCACUAGGAAAUGUAGCAAGGAGGAGUCUGCAUGGUAGAACUCAGCCCCAGGGCUGUCCUGGCAUCCUGUUGAACUCCUGAUUCCCACUAGCAGCUCCCUGGUCUCUGGCUUUGGGAGUGAAGGUGGCCCAAGGGACACCCACUGUGCAAGUAUUAUGAGUUGGG